This 497-nucleotide ribosomal RNA is filed under the name uncultured bacterium. RNAcentral describes it as "partial 16S ribosomal RNA". It matches the Rfam family "Bacterial small subunit ribosomal RNA", at positions 28 to 507 of the family's 1533-position model. The record is from RNAcentral.
GAUGAACGCUGGCGGCGUGCCUAGUACAUGCAAGUCGAGCGAACAGACGAGGAGCUUGCUCCUCUGACGUUAGCGGCGGACGGGUGAGUAACACGUGGAUAACCUACCUAUAAGACUGGGAUAACUUCGGGAAACCGGAGCUAAUACCGGAUAAUAUAUUGAACCGCAUGGUUCAAUAGUCAAAGACGGUUUUGCUGUCACUUAUAGAUGGAUCCGCGCCGCAUUAGCUAGUUGGUAAGGUAACGGCUUACCAAGGCAACGAUGCGUAGCCGACCUGAGAGGGUGAUCGGCCACACUGGAACUGAGACACGGUCCAGACUCCUACGGGAGGCAGCAGUAGGGAAUCUUCCGCAAUGGGCGAAAGCCUGACGGAGCAACGCCGCGUGAGUGAUGAAGGUCUUCGGAUCGUAAAACUCUGUUAUUAGGGAAGAACAAAUGUGUAAGUAACUAUGCACGUCUUGACGGUACCUAAUCAGAAAGCCACGGCUAACUACGUG